RNAcentral lists this ribosomal RNA (790 nucleotides) under uncultured bacterium. RNAcentral describes it as "bacterial SSU rRNA". It matches the Rfam family "Bacterial small subunit ribosomal RNA", at positions 8 to 796 of the family's 1533-position model. The record is from RNAcentral.
AGAGUUUGAUCAUGGCUCAGGAUGAACGCUAGCGGCAGGCCUAAUACAUGCAAGUCGAACGGACUGGAGUAGCAAUACUUCAGUUAGUGGCGCACGGGUGCGUAACGCGUAUGCAACCUACCUUUUACUGGGGGGAUAGCCCGGAGAAAUCCGGAUUAAUACCGCAUAACACUAUUUGAGGGCAUCCUCUGGAUAGUGAAAGAUUUAUUGGUAAAAGAUGGGCAUGCGUGCCAUUAGCUAGUUGGUGGUGUAACGGACCACCAAGGCGACGAUGGCUAGGGGUUCUGAGAGGAUGAUCCCCCACACUGGUACUGAGAUACGGACCAGACUCCUACGGGAGGCAGCAGUAGGGAAUAUUGGGCAAUGGACGCAAGUCUGGCCCAGCCAUGCCGCGUGCAGGAUGAAGGCCUUCUGGGUUGUAAACUGCUUUUAUCUAGGAAGAAAAAACCCUUGCGAGGGGAACUGACGGUACUAGGUGAAUAAGCACCGGCUAACUCCGUGCCAGCAGCCGCGGUAAUACGGAGGGUGCAAGCGUUGUCCGGAUUUAUUGGGUUUAAAGGGUGCGUAGGCGGCCCGUUAAGUCCGUGGUGAAAGCCAACAGCUCAACUGUUGAACUGCCAUGGAUACUGACGGGCUUGAGUACAGACGAGGUAGGCGGAAUGGAUGGUGUAGCGGUGAAAUGCAUAGAUACCAUCCAGAACACCGAUUGCGUAGGCAGCUUACUAGGCUGUAACUGACGCUGAGGCACGAAAGCGUGGGGAGCGAACAGGAUUAGAUACCCUAGUAGUCC